This 86-nucleotide transfer RNA is filed under the name Ahniella affigens. RNAcentral describes it as "tRNA-Leu". It matches the Rfam family "tRNA". Rfam says of the family: Transfer RNA (tRNA) molecules are approximately 80 nucleotides in length. Their secondary structure includes four short double-helical elements and three loops (D, anti-codon, and T loops). Lineage: Bacteria; Pseudomonadati; Pseudomonadota; Gammaproteobacteria; Lysobacterales; Rhodanobacteraceae. The record is from RNAcentral.
GCCCGGAUGGCGGAAUCGGUAGACGCAGGGGACUUAAAAUCCCCCGGCCCAAAGCCGUGCCGGUUCGAUUCCGGCUCCGGGCACCA